This 231-nucleotide non-coding RNA is filed under the name Picochlorum sp. RCC944. The record is from RNAcentral. Lineage: Eukaryota; Viridiplantae; Chlorophyta; Trebouxiophyceae.
CACACAGGGACAUUGAUUCAAAUGAAAUGAAAAAAAAAAAGAACAAAUGCAAACCGCAGUCAAUGUUCCUUUCUCUUUUCUUUUUCUUCUUGGAGGUUUUGACAGAGUGAGAGCUUUGCUUGUUCCCCCCAAAAACAUUCUGAUCUUACAACAGGAAAACCCAAUUUAGUAGCACAUUUCUAGUGUAUAAAACAAUGUAAUAAAGGUCCAAGGGCUGUGACUUUUAUAUAU